GUACACGCUGUGACUAGCAUAUCAAUAAGCGGAGGAAAAGAAACUAACAAGGAUUCCCCUAGUAACGGCGAGUGAAGCGGGAAGAGCUCAAAUUUGAAAUCUUAAAGGGUUUCCCUUUACGAAUUGUAGUUUAAAGAAGUGUUUUCUGUUGAGGUUUUGGUAAAAGUUCUUUGGAAUAGGACAUCAUAGAGGGUGAGAAUCCCGUAUUUGACCUUUACUUUCAACUUUGUGAUACACUUUCAAAGAGUCGGAUUGUUUGGGAAUGCAGUCCAAAGUGGGUGGUAAAUCUCAUCUAAAGCUAAAUAUUGGCGAGAGACCGAUAGCGAACAAGUACCGUGAGGGAAAGAUGAAAAGAACUUUGAAAAGAGAGUUAAACAGUACGUGAAAUUGUCAAAAGGGAAGCGUUUGACACCAGUGUUGUUUUUCUGAAAAUCAAUUAAAGAACUGUUUAUGCUAAGUUGUUUAGACUUUAUCAGCUAACUGUUUAGUUUUGAGCUUUUCUUUAAUGCACUUUUCAGUUAACAAGUCAACAUCAAUUUCUUUUGCUGUAGAAAAGCUUGAGGAAGGUGGCUUGAGAUUCGUCUUAAGUGUUUAUAGCCUCUUGCCUAUGCAGUCGGAGAGAUUGAGGUCUGCAGCGUAGAUCCUUCGGGGCUAAAUGCAUUUGUGCUAAGUUAUAGCAUUUUAUAGACAACUUGUUGACUAUGAUUUGUCUUGUAGCUUACUCGCUUAUGUUAUUUUACCUACGCUUAGGAUGUUGAAGAUGUAGCACAUCAU
Molecule: ribosomal RNA, 774 nt
Filed under: uncultured Neocallimastigales
Lineage: Eukaryota; Fungi; Neocallimastigomycota; Neocallimastigomycetes; Neocallimastigales
Description: partial large subunit ribosomal RNA
Rfam family: Eukaryotic large subunit ribosomal RNA
Source: RNAcentral